Oncorhynchus tshawytscha (Chinook salmon) is the source of this 821-nucleotide long non-coding RNA. The record is from Ensembl. NCBI's taxonomy places the organism in Eukaryota, Metazoa, Chordata, Actinopteri, Salmoniformes, Salmonidae.
AGGCGCCUGAUCAGUAGUAGUAGGCGUUCUAAGUGUGUUUACAGUGAUAUAGGUGGUCUCACCCCUCCUGUCCUUGUUUUACUAGAAGUGAGGUUCUUCUCGUACUGAUUGAGUAACAGGGAAGGUUUCUGGUUGUUUGCAUAUUCAAACAGCAUUUCCGUUCCAGGUUGUCUUGAAAGCACCAUAAAUCCAGAGAAUGUCAGGCUUUGAUGACAAAUGUUUGAUGACAACAUUUGCCCACGAAGAACCGCAGAGCCACCUUCCUGUUCAAGUGAGCACAGCACAAAAAGACAAGGCUCCGCUGAUAGCCAGGUGUAGCAGUGGUAAGGUGUUGGGACUGCUGUUGGGACUCUGCUGUUGGGACUCUGCUGUUAGGACUCUGCUGUUGGGACUCUGCUGUUGGGACUCUGAUGUUGGGACUCUGCUGUUGGAACUCUGCUGUUGGGACUCUGCUGUUGAACUCUGAUGUUGGGACUCUGCUGUUGGGACUCUGAUGUUGGGACUCUGCUGUUGGGACUCUGCUGUUGGGACUCUGAUGUUGGGACUCUGCUGUUGGGACUCUGAUGUUGGGACUCUGCUGUUGGGACUCUGCUGUUGGGACUCUGCUGUUGGGACAGCUUUAUGUAGGCCCUAACAGUAUGUGGGAACUGUUUGUCACAGUUAUAGUGCAAUUAAUGUAUUGUUUAGUGUUGUGUUGUGUUGUGUUGUUUAGUGUUGUGUUGUUUAGUGUUGUGUUGUGUUGUGUUGUUUAGUGUUGUGUUGUUUAGUGUUUGUUUGUGUUGUGUUGUGUUGUUUAGUGUUGUGUAGUGUUGUGUAGUGUU